UUCCUACGGGGGGCAGCAGUGGGGAAUUUUGGACAAUGGGCGCAAGCCUGAUCCAGCCAUUCCGCGUGAGUGAAGAAGGCCUUCGGGUUGUAAAGCUCUUUCGGCAGGAACGAAACGGUGGGGGCUAAUAUCCCUUGCUAAUGACGGUACCUGAAGAAGAAGCACCGGCUAACUACGUGCCAGCAGCCGCGGUAAUACGUAGGGUGCGAGCGUUAAUCGGAAUUACUGGGCGUAAAGCGUGCGCAGGCGGUUUGGUAAGACAGAUGUGAAAUCCCCGGGCUUAACCUGGGAACUGCGUUUGUGACUGCAAGACUCGAGUGCGGCAGAGGGGGGUGGAAUUCCACGUGUAGCAGUGAAAUGCGUAGAGAUGUGGAGGAACACCGAUGGCGAAGGCAGCCCCCUGGGUCGACACUGACGCUCAUGCACGAAAGCGUGGGUAGCAAACAGGAUUAGAUACCCUGGUAGUCCU
Molecule: ribosomal RNA, 469 nt
Filed under: uncultured Rhodocyclaceae bacterium
Lineage: Bacteria; Pseudomonadati; Pseudomonadota; Betaproteobacteria; Rhodocyclales; Rhodocyclaceae
Description: bacterial SSU rRNA
Rfam family: Bacterial small subunit ribosomal RNA
Source: RNAcentral